Biomphalaria pfeifferi is the source of this 380-nucleotide non-coding RNA. The record is from the annotation of a GenBank genome assembly. Lineage: Eukaryota; Metazoa; Mollusca; Gastropoda; Planorbidae.
UGAAGGCAUCUCAUGUUUGUUGAUGGCUGGAACAAUGAGUGUAAACCUAAUGAGGGCAUCUCUUGUUUGUUGAUGACUGGAACAAUGAGUGUAAACCUAAUGAAGGCAUCUCAUGUUUGUUGAUAACUGGAACAAAAAGACUCUGGAAUGUUGUGAAGUAACUGGAAAAAAGAAAGGACUGGAGAGAAUGGGAUGUUAUUUGUAGUUUUUGAUUUAUUUUAAUGGUCAAGAGAUUUGUGAAAAUUUGUAGUUGUUCAAUUUAGGUUAAGCCUAUCUAAGACCUAUACAAUAGAUACAGUUUCCAUCCUUAUGAUUAUCUAAUGAUUGACAGUGUCUCACAAUGUAUUAAAUCAUUAAAUUACUUUUUCAAUGUAUUCAAA